This 298-nucleotide ribosomal RNA is filed under the name Escherichia coli. RNAcentral's name for it is "partial 23S ribosomal RNA". It matches the Rfam family "Bacterial large subunit ribosomal RNA", at positions 1889 to 2184 of the family's 2925-position model. Lineage: Bacteria; Pseudomonadati; Pseudomonadota; Gammaproteobacteria; Enterobacterales; Enterobacteriaceae. The record is from RNAcentral.
GUGAGCCGUAUCGCGAAGCUCUUGAUCGAAGCCCCGGUAAACGGCGGCCGUAACGAUAACGGUCCUAAGGUAGCGAAAUUCCUUGUCGGGAAAGUUCCGACCUGCACGAAUGGAGUAAUUAUGGCCAGGCUGUCUCUACCCGAGACUCAGUGAAAUUGAACUCGCUGUGAAUAUGCAGUGUACCCGCGUCAAGUCGGAAAGACCGCGUGAACCUUUACUAUAGCUUGAUACUGAACAUUGAGCCUUGAUGUGUCGGAUAGGUGGGAGGCUUUGAACUGUGGACGCCAGUCUGCAUGGA